This 302-nucleotide ribosomal RNA is filed under the name uncultured bacterium. RNAcentral's name for it is "partial 16S ribosomal RNA". It matches the Rfam family "Bacterial small subunit ribosomal RNA", at positions 508 to 807 of the family's 1533-position model. The record is from RNAcentral.
GCAGUCGCCGCGGUAAUACGGAGGGAGCUAGCGUUGUUCGGAAUUACUGGGCGUAAAGCGCGCGUAGGCGGUUACUCAAGUCAGAGGUGAAAGCCCGGGGCUCAACCCCGGAACUGCCUUUGAAACUAGGUGACUAGAAUCUUGGAGAGGUCAGUGGAAUUCCGAGUGUAGAGGUGAAAUUCGUAGAUAUUCGGAAGAACACCAGUGGCGAAGGCGACUGACUGGACAAGUAUUGACGCUGAGGUGCGAAAGCGUGGGGAGCAAACAGGAUUAGAUACCCCAGUAGUCCCUGUCUCUUAUAC